ACGAAUCCCUUCGGGGAUUAGUGGCGGACGGGUGAGUAGCGCGUGAGAAUCUGCCUUCAGGUUCGGGACAACCACUGGAAACGGUGGCUAAUACCGAAUGUGCCGCAACGUGAAAGAUUUAUCGCCUGAAGAUGAGCUCGCGUCCGAUUAGCUAGUUGGUGAGGUAAAAGCUCACCAAGGCGACGAUCGGUAGCUGGUCUGAGAGGAUGACCAGCCACACUGGGACUGAGACACGGCCCAGACUCCUACGGGAGGCAGCAGUGGGGAAUUUUCCGCAAUGGGCGCAAGCCUGACGGAGCAAGACCGCGUGAGGGAGGAAGGCUCUUGGGUUGUAAACCUCUUUUCUCAGGGAAGAAGAAAGUGACGGUACCUGAGGAAUCAGCCUCGGCUAACUCCGUGCCAGCAGCCGCGGUAAUACGGAGGAGGCAAGCGUUAUCCGGAAUUAUUGGGCGUAAAGCGUCCGUAGGUGGUUAUGUAAGUCUGCUGUCAAAGCACAGGGCUUAACCCUGUAAAGGCAGUGGAAACUACAAGACUCGAGUGCGGUAGGGGCAGAGGGAAUUCCCAGUGUAGCGGUGAAAUGCGUGGAGAUUGGGAAGAACACCUGUGGCGAAAGCGCUCUGCUGGACCGCAACUGACACUCAGGGACGAAAGCUAGGGGAGCGA
RNAcentral lists this ribosomal RNA (663 nucleotides) under uncultured cyanobacterium. RNAcentral describes it as "bacterial SSU rRNA". It matches the Rfam family "Bacterial small subunit ribosomal RNA", at positions 66 to 771 of the family's 1533-position model. Lineage: Bacteria; Bacillati; Cyanobacteriota. The record is from RNAcentral.